UAAGCCAUGCGAGUCAUUGUAGCAAUACAAGGCAGACGGCUCAGUAACGCGUAGUCAACCUACCCUAUGGACGGGGAUAACCUCGGGAAACUGAGAAUAAUACCCGAUAGAACAUUAUACCUGGAAUGGUUUAUGUUUCAAAUAAUUUAUUGCCGUAGGAUGGGACUGCGGCCUAUCAGUUUGUUGGUGAGGUAAUGGCCCACCAAGACUAUUACAGGUACGGGCUCUGAGAGGAGUAGCCCGGAGAUGGGUACUGAGACACGGACCCAGGCCCUAUGGGGCGCAGCAGGCGAGAAAACUUUGCAAUGUGCGAAAGCACGACAAGGUUAAUCCGAGUGGUUUCUGCUAAAGGAACCUUUUGUCAGUCCUAGAAACACUGGUGAAUAAGGGGUGGGCAAGUUCUGGUGUCAGCCGCCGCGGUAAAACCAGCACCUCAAGUGGUCAGGAUGAUUAUUGGGCCUAAAGCAUCCGUAGCCUGCUUUGUUAGUUUUCGGUUAAAUCCAUACGCUCAACGUAUGGGCUGCCGGGAAUACUGCAAAGCUAGGGAGUGGGAGAGGUAGACGGUACUCGGUAGGAAGGGGUAAAAUCCUUUGAUCUAUUGAUGACCACCUGUGGCGAAGGCGGUCUACCAGAACACGUCCGACGGUGAGGGAUGAAAGCUGGGGGAGCAAACCGGAUUAGAUACCCGGGUAGUCCCAGCUGUAAACUAUGCAAACUCGGUGAUGCAUUGGCUUGAUGCCAAUGCAGUGCCGCAGGGAAGCCGUUAAGUUUGCCGCCUGGGAAGUACGUACGCAAGUAUGAAACUUAAAGGAAUUGG
RNAcentral lists this ribosomal RNA (817 nucleotides) under uncultured archaeon. RNAcentral's name for it is "bacterial SSU rRNA". It matches the Rfam family "Archaeal small subunit ribosomal RNA", at positions 45 to 868 of the family's 1478-position model. The record is from RNAcentral.